UACGUAGGGGGCAAGCGUUGUCCGGAAUCAUUGGGCGUAAAGAGCGUGUAGGCGGUCCGGUAAGUCGGCUGUGAAAGUCCAGGGCUCAACCCUGGGAUGCCGGUCGAUACUGCCGGACUAGAGUUCGGAAGAGGCGAGUGGAAUUCCCGGUGUAGCGGUGAAAUGCGCAGAUAUCGGGAGGAACACCGAUGGCGAAGGCAGCUCGCUGGGACGUUACUGACGCUGAGAAGCGAAAGCGUGGGGAGCAAACAGG
This 253-nucleotide ribosomal RNA is filed under the name uncultured bacterium. RNAcentral's name for it is "partial 16S ribosomal RNA". It matches the Rfam family "Bacterial small subunit ribosomal RNA", at positions 524 to 776 of the family's 1533-position model. The record is from RNAcentral.